GUCGAGAAUCUUCCGCAAUGCGCGAAAGCGUGACGGAGCGACACCGCGUGAUGGAUGAAGUCCUUCGGGGCGUAAACAUCUUUUAUAAAGGAGGAAAUUUUUGACGUUACUUUAUGAAUAAGGGGCUCCCAAUCUCGUGCCAGCAGGAGCGGUAAUACGAGAGCCUCAAGCGUUAUCCGGAAUCAUUGGGCGUAAAGGGUGCGUAGGUGGUUUGAUUAGUCUCCCGUUAAAACUUCGAGCUUAACUCGAAAAGAGCGGGGGAAACGGUCAAACUAGAGUAUGUGAGAGGUGCGUGGAACUCAUGGUGUAGGGGUGAAAUCCGUUGAUAUCAUGGGGAACACCAAAAGCGAAGGCAGCACACUGGCACAUCACUGACACUGAGGCACGAAACCUAAGGUAGCGAAUGGGAUUAGAAACCCCUGUAGUCC
This 428-nucleotide ribosomal RNA is filed under the name uncultured bacterium. RNAcentral describes it as "partial 16S ribosomal RNA". It matches the Rfam family "Bacterial small subunit ribosomal RNA", at positions 354 to 796 of the family's 1533-position model. The record is from RNAcentral.